Molecule: ribosomal RNA, 1481 nt
Filed under: Diaporthe eres
Lineage: Eukaryota; Fungi; Ascomycota; Sordariomycetes; Diaporthales; Diaporthaceae
Description: SSU rRNA
Rfam family: Eukaryotic small subunit ribosomal RNA
Source: RNAcentral
UGUAGUCAUUAUGCUUGUCUCAAAGAUUAAGCCAUGCAAGUCUAAGUUUAAGCACCUAAACGGCGAAACUGCGAAUGGCUCAUUAAAUCAGUUAUCGUAUAUUUGAUAGUACCUACUACAUGGAUAACCGUGGUAAUUCUAGAGCUAAUACAUGCUUAAAACCCCGACUUCGGAAGGGGUGUAUUUAUUAGAUUAAAAACCAAUGCCCUUCGGGGCUCACUGGUGAUUCAUAAUAACUUCUCGAAUCGCAUGGCCUUGUGCCGGCGAUGGUUCAUUCAAAUUUCUGCCCUAUCAACUUUCGACGGCUGGGUCUUGGCCAGCCGUGGUUACAACGGGUAACGGAGGGUUAGGGCUUGACCCCGGAGAAGGAGCCUGAGAAACGGCUACUACAUCCAAGGAAGGCAGCAGGCGCGCAAAUUACCCAAUCCCGACUCGGGGAGGUAGUGACAAUAAAUACUGAUACAGGGCUCUUUUGGGUCUUGUAAUUGGAAUGAGUACAAUUUAAAUCCCUUAACGAGGAACAAUUGGAGGGCAAGUCUGGUGCCAGCAGCCGCGGUAAUUCCAGCUCCAAUAGCGUAUAUUNAAGUUGUUGCAGUUAAAAAGCUCGUAGUUGAACCUUGGGCCUGGCUGGCCGGUCUGCCUCACCGCAUGCACUGGUCCGGCCGGGCCUUUCCCUCUGGGGAGCCGCAUGCCCUUCACUGGGUGUGUCGGGGAACCAGGACUUUUACUGUGAAAAAAUUAGAGUGUUCAAAGCAGGCAUAUGCUCGAAUACAUUAGCAUGGAAUAAUAGAAUAGGACGUCGCGGUUCUAUUUUGUUGGUUUCUAGGACCGCCGUAAUGAUUAAUAGGGACAGUCGGGGGCAUCAGUAUUCAAUCGUCAGAGGUGAAAUUCUUGGAUCGAUUGAAGACUAACUACUGCGAAAGCAUUUGCCAAGGAUGUUUUCAUUAAUCAGGAACGAAAGUUAGGGGAUCGAAAACGAUCAGAUACCGUUGUAGUCUUAACCAUAAACUAUGCCGACUAGGGAUCGGGCGGUGUUAUUUCUUGACCCGCUCGGCACCUUACACGAAAGUAAAGUUUUUGGGUUCUGGGGGGAGUAUGGUCGCAAGGCUGAAACUUAAAGAAAUUGACGGAAGGGCACCACAAGGGGUGGAGCCUGCGGCUUAAUUUGACUCAACACGGGGAAACUCACCAGGUCCAGACACAACUAGGAUUGACAGAUUGAGAGCUCUUUCUUGAUUUUGUGGGUGGUGGUGCAUGGCCGUUCUUAGUUGGUGGAGUGAUUUGUCUGCUUAAUUGCGAUAACGAACGAGACCUUAACCUGCUAAAUAGCCCGUGCCGCCUAGGCGGCACGCCGGCUUCUUAGAGGGACUAUCGGCUCAAGCCGAUGGAAGUUUGAGGCAAUAACAGGUCAACCGUAUUCACAGGCCUGUAAAAGUAUGGAUCCGUUGGAUGCUGCUAGUCCACACCAGACCCGUGGGGAA